Molecule: long non-coding RNA, 951 nt
Filed under: Homo sapiens (human)
Lineage: Eukaryota; Metazoa; Chordata; Mammalia; Primates; Hominidae
Description: HSALNT0070898
Source: RNAcentral
GAAGUUUUGUGGCCUUGAGGAAGAUGAAGUCAGCAAUGAGAUGAACCUACAGAAACCUUUCUCCUCAAGUGAUAGCAGAAAAGAGAGGAAGAUACCUGGAAGAUAUACCUAAGAAAUACUUGGGAAGUAUAUGGAAAUGGGUACUUUUUCUCCUCUUUGAACAAUCAAUUCAUUCAAAACUCCAGUGUUAUCCUGAGCUACUAGGAGAAGCGUUAAAAAUAAACCUGAUUUGAUCUUAAAAAACAAGCAAAUAAAAACAGACAAUGGGACACUUUUUCUUAAUAAUAAUUGAGACUUACCCUAUGGAAAAUGUAGAUUUUAAUACAUUAAAUUUGUUAGCAGGUAUAGUUGAUUAGAUAGAUCAACAGAUAGAUAAAGAUAAAUAUUUUUUAUGCACCAUAAAUGCACGCAAACAUAUACACAUGCAUAUUUGGGAUAUCACAGCAAUAGUAUGCAUCUUAGUCUAGUUUGGGCUGCUAUAACAAAAUAUGUGGGACAGGGUAAUUUAUGAAGAACAGAAAUUUAUUUCUCAUAGUUCUGGAGGCUGGGCAGUUUAGAAUCAAGGCUCCAGCAUUUGUUGUCUGGUGAGGGCUGCUGUCUGCUUCUAAGAUGGUGCUUUGUUGCUGUGUCCUAACAUGGCCAAAGGCAGAAAAGCAAAAAGGGCCUAGCUAGUUCCCUCCAGCCCUUAUAUAAGGCCUCUCAUGCCAUUAAUGAGGGUUCUGCUCUCAUGACAUAAUCACCUCUUAAAAGCCCUGUCUCUUAAUACUGUUACCUUGAGGAUUAAGUUUUAACAUGAAUUUUGGGAGCACAUUCAACCAUAGCAGUGUGAGAGGGAAGGUUAAAUGUCUUAGUUAAUGUUGAUUUCUGUAACAAAUAAAAUCUUUAAAAUAAUAAUAAGUGUUCAUUUAGUAUCACUUAAAUUCAAAAAGCGUGUUUCUAUCUUCAAAUCAG